GCAGAGAUAGCAUAGCCAGGUCAAUGCGGUAGGCUCGAGACCUACUGGGCUUUGUGCCCUCGGGGGUUCGAAUCCCCCUCUCUGCG
RNAcentral lists this transfer RNA (86 nucleotides) under Thermoplasmata archaeon. RNAcentral's name for it is "tRNA-Ser". It matches the Rfam family "tRNA". From Rfam's summary of the family: Transfer RNA (tRNA) molecules are approximately 80 nucleotides in length. Their secondary structure includes four short double-helical elements and three loops (D, anti-codon, and T loops). The record is from RNAcentral. Lineage: Archaea; Methanobacteriati; Thermoplasmatota; Thermoplasmata.